AACGCAUCUUGCGCUCCUUGGCAUUCCGAGGAGCAUGCCUGUUUGAGUGUCAUGAAAAUAUCAAACUACUUUUUUUAUUUUUUUAUUUUUUUUAAAAAAAAUAAAAAUAAAAAUAAAUGUUGGUUUGGAUAUUGGAUGCUUGCUGGUCAAUAGCAUGACUCGGCUCAUCUAAAAUUUAUUAGCUGAUCAGAAUAUCAUGGAUUAUCCACUUGGCGUGAUAAGUAUCACCCGCUGAGGACUUAUCCAGAAAUAAUAGAUUGCUUCUAAUCGUAGAUACUUAUGUGUCUGAUUGAAUCAUUUGACCUCAAAUCAGGUAGGACUACCCGCUGAACUUAA
RNAcentral lists this unclassified non-coding RNA (336 nucleotides) under Urnula sp. RNAcentral describes it as "partial contains 5.8S ribosomal RNA, internal transcribed spacer 2, and large subunit ribosomal RNA". The stretch from base 1 to 52 matches the Rfam family "5.8S ribosomal RNA", at positions 103 to 154 of the family's 154-position model. The record is from RNAcentral. Lineage: Eukaryota; Fungi; Ascomycota; Pezizomycetes; Pezizales; Sarcosomataceae.